GUAAUUAAUUAAUCAUUUUAUCGUAUACAUUUUUAUUAGUGUUAAUAGUUAAUUUAUCAAAGUAAACGGCCACUUUUACAUAAAACAUUAUCUACACGAAAGUUCUUCAAAGUUUUAUCGUCUGCCUAUGAUUAAUUUAAUGGUCGUUGUGAUAAUAUGUAAAGUAUAUUUUAUAGUGUUUUGUAUAUUAAAGUUUAUCGCUUGCAACUAAAGAUGUCCGGGAAACUCAAUGAUCGCCAAUUGGAACUCUAAUUGGAGAUUGCAGAGUGCCACCCAAACUUGGCGAUGGGUUGUUUUGGAGGGCCUUUGGAAAGUCAGGCUACUAAAUAAACCUUCCGUGUUCGCGUCUGCCAGUGGCGUUGUAUCAACAUGAAGAUGUGGGCUCUAAACUUUGAGUGCCAGGGACUGACUAUGGAAGUCUCCAUGUCGCUGGUCACCAUUGAGGUGCAAAACACCUUGAAAAAAUUGGUGAUUCUGAAUCCUUCAUCUCUAGGAACGAUUCAUGAAGAAAGAAUUAAACAAACAUUUAAUGAACAGAUUUUUUAUAAGAUUAUUAUCAAUAAUGACAUUGCAUAUGAGAGAAAAUUGUCAAAUAUAAUUUCAUUUUAAUUUAAUAUAGUUAAUUAUGACAUCACUGUAUAUAAAGAAUAUGAUUAUUAUCAUUUGGUUAAUUUCAGUAUUACAUAGUAUUAGAUAAAAAUUUUAUUGUAAAAUUGCACAUCAAAAUAUGUUUUAUUAUCUAUUAUUAGGAGGAAAUAUUAUUUAACUAUUAUUAUUAUCCCUAAUAGCCCAGUGAAUGUGACCUCUGCCUCCAAUUCCGGAGGGUGUGGGUUCGAACCCGUUCCGGGGCACGCACCUCCAACUUUUCAGUUGUGUGCAUUUUAAGAAACUAAAUAUCACGUGUCUCAAACAGUGAAGGAAAACAUCGUGAGAAAA
This is a long non-coding RNA of Bicyclus anynana (squinting bush brown), 936 nucleotides long. RefSeq lists it as uncharacterized. The record is from RefSeq and is a predicted model, not a curated record. The transcript has 2 exons. Lineage: Eukaryota; Metazoa; Arthropoda; Insecta; Lepidoptera; Nymphalidae.